AACGUAGGGGGCAAGCGUUGUCCGGAUUUAUUGGGCGUAAAGAGCGUGUAGGCGGCCAAGCAGGUCCGCUGUGAAAACUCGAGGCUCAACCUCGAGAGGUCGGUGGAAACCGUUUGGCUAGAGUCCGGAAGAGGAGAGUGGAAUUCCCGGUGUAGCGGUGAAAUGCGCAGAUAUCGGGAAGAACACCCGUGGCGAAGGCGGCUCUCUGGGACGGUACUGACGCUGAGACGCGAAAGCGUGGGGAGCGAACAGG
RNAcentral lists this ribosomal RNA (253 nucleotides) under uncultured bacterium. Its description in RNAcentral is "partial 16S ribosomal RNA". It matches the Rfam family "Bacterial small subunit ribosomal RNA", at positions 524 to 776 of the family's 1533-position model. The record is from RNAcentral.